CCAAACCCUAAUCAAUCUACCGCCGUCUCCUUCUGAAAUUCCUUCAGACCCCUUGUUUUUGUUUCGUCAAUCUUUCUUCGAUUCACUUGCUUUCGGCAGUGAAGAAUCUGCAAAGUGUUUCUAUGUUUUCCUUGUUUAACAAGCUUUUUAUUGAUCGAAAUUUGAUGAAAGAAGGCCAAAUGAUGUGUUUAUUAUCGAGUUGAAUGCUCGCUUUGUGUGGGUAUUUUGAUUCUAACUCUGAAUAGGAAGAUCUGAUGCCUUUUCUCUUUCAAUUUUUCAAAACCAUUUCCAUAUAUACUUACACACAUGUAUCUAUAUCGACACAUACACACACUCACGUCUUGCUCUAUUUCUUUCAUCAUUGUAUUAUUGGUUUUCUUUAAUUUCCAAUUUGCUGGCCGGUGAUGAUAUCUUUUUAAUAUGGUUGACUGAAAAAGCAAGCUUUUAUGCUUGCAUUUGUUGAAAAUCAUGAACUAGGACGGUCUGAGGCUAUUUUGAAUUCCGUUUUUUGUCGCAAAUUUUGGAUGUUUUGUGAAGUUUUUAAUGAUUUAUUUAAUGUGGGUUGUGUAUGAUGAUAUCAUAUAUGUUAACAGUUAUCCCUGUCUGAUUAAUCUUGAUGUAUACAUUUGAUCUGACACAUCUACCCACAUACUAUCUUCACUUUUUAUGAGUUUCUGUUCCUUGAACCCAGUUUAUACCCACAUACCUUGUUCCAGUUGGAUUCAGAAGCUACUUUUUAUGAGUUUCUGAUUCAAUUCCAUCCAACAUGAUGCUUUAAUGGAUACUAUACCAAAGGAGUAUACAUCGGAUUCUUUAUUGAAUGUUCUUGAUUGGAUUUGUUAUUAAAGAAUUCGGUGUAUAUCCUUUGAUAUAAUAUAUAUUGGUAUAAAUAUUGAAGAACCAGGUGAAGGUUAUGUAUGGUGUUCUAAAGGUUUAUGUAGAAUGGUUUUUUGAAUGGAGAGAAGGGACUUGUGGCUGAUUCUGGAUUUGUUUAGAAAUAGGGUAUCAUAAUGUAUUUUAUUCACAUUUUGGUUAAUGUAAUCUACCUUUUAUAAUUGGUUGUGAUAGGUUUGUAAAUAACUUUGUAUCUUUUACAUAAAACUUUCUGUCACAUUUAU
Molecule: long non-coding RNA, 1118 nt
Organism: Cynara cardunculus var. scolymus (artichoke)
Lineage: Eukaryota; Viridiplantae; Streptophyta; Magnoliopsida; Asterales; Asteraceae
Exons: 2
Source: RefSeq, a predicted model, not a curated record